RNAcentral lists this unclassified non-coding RNA (220 nucleotides) under rhizosphere metagenome. Its description in RNAcentral is "partial ribosomal RNA internal transcribed spacer region". The record is from RNAcentral.
GUUGGUGAACCAGCGGAGGGAUCAUUACCAGAGUGCCCUAGGCUCUCCAACCCAUUGUGAACAUACCUAUCGUUCCCUCGGCGGGCUCAGCGCGCGGUGCCUCCGGGCUCCGGGCGUCCGCCGGGGACAACCAAACUCUGAUUUUAUUGUGAAUCUCUGAGGGGCGAAAGCCCGAAAACAAAAUGAAUCAAAACUUUCAACAACGGAUCUCUUGGCUCUG